This 76-nucleotide transfer RNA is filed under the name Ahnfeltia plicata. RNAcentral describes it as "tRNA-Val". It matches the Rfam family "tRNA". Rfam says of the family: Transfer RNA (tRNA) molecules are approximately 80 nucleotides in length. Their secondary structure includes four short double-helical elements and three loops (D, anti-codon, and T loops). The record is from RNAcentral. RNAcentral also lists the same sequence under 1 other name. Lineage: Eukaryota; Rhodophyta; Florideophyceae; Ahnfeltiales; Ahnfeltiaceae.
UGGAUGUAUAACUCAGUUGGCUAGAGUAUCACGUUGACAUCGUGAAAGUCACUGGUUCGAGCCCAGUUACAUCCAA